This 466-nucleotide long non-coding RNA is filed under the name Rattus norvegicus (Norway rat). Its description in RNAcentral is "long non-coding RNA NONRATT000694". The record is from RNAcentral. Lineage: Eukaryota; Metazoa; Chordata; Mammalia; Rodentia; Muridae.
AAGAUUUGAAGAUACCUUUAAAAGAAUAAAAGAAAAACAAUCGAGGAAGCGUGUGUGAAACACUUAUUUGAUGAAGAUUUGGGUCCACAAUAUAUAAAGAACUCUUAGAAGUUAACAAGAAGAAAAAGACAUGGAAAAUCCUAGCACUUGAGAGGCUGAGACCAAGAGGGUGACAAGUUUGAGGUCCCAUGGUCUACAUUGUGAGACUCUGCCUAACUAUAACAAACAAAAAAGAAAACGCAGAUGGGCACAGCAGCAUACUCCUUUAGUCGUAGCACUCAAGAGAGUUCAAAGCCAGCCUGGACUACUGUCUUACAAACAAAAACAAUUUGCUAGGUGUGGCAACACACUUCUGUCAAACCAGCACUUGGAAUGGGGAAGAAGGAUCAGGAAUUCAAGACCAUCCUCAGCUACACAAUGAGCUCAUGGUUAGCCUGGGCUACACGAGACCUUGUCUUUAAAAAAA